This 45-nucleotide non-coding RNA is filed under the name Trichobilharzia regenti. The record is from RNAcentral. Lineage: Eukaryota; Metazoa; Platyhelminthes; Trematoda; Strigeidida; Schistosomatidae.
AUCCUGAUAACUAGUCCAAAAUAGGACGAAAUGCGCAUCCUAGAU